GACCAGACUCCUACGGGAGGCAGCAGUCGAGAAUCAUUCACAAUGGGGGGAACCCUGAUGCAGCGACGCCGCGUGGGUGAAGGAGCACCUCGGUGCGUAAAGCCCUAUCGGCAGGGAAGAAAAGCGAACAGGUUCGCCUGGACGGUACCUGACUAAGAAGCCCCGGCUAACUACGUGCCAGCAGCCGCGGUAAUACGUAGGGGGCAAGCGUUAUCCGGAUUCACUGGGUGUAAAGGGAGCGUAGCCGGCGACGCAAGUCUGGAGUGAAAGCCCGGGGCCCAACCCCGGGACUGCCCUUGGAACUGCAUGGCUGGAGUGCGGGAGGGGCAGGCGGAAUUCCUGGUGUAGCGGUGAAAUGCGUAGAUAUCAGGAGGAACACCGGCGGCGAAGGCGGCCUGCUGGACCGCGACUGACGUUGAGGCUCGAAAGCGUGGGGAGCGAACAGGAUUAGAUACCCCCGUAGUC
This 465-nucleotide ribosomal RNA is filed under the name uncultured bacterium. RNAcentral's name for it is "bacterial SSU rRNA". It matches the Rfam family "Bacterial small subunit ribosomal RNA", at positions 329 to 795 of the family's 1533-position model. The record is from RNAcentral.